Molecule: ribosomal RNA, 637 nt
Filed under: uncultured bacterium
Lineage: Bacteria
Description: bacterial SSU rRNA
Rfam family: Bacterial small subunit ribosomal RNA
Source: RNAcentral
GCUCAACCGAGGAAGUGCUUCGAAAACUGGUAAACUUGAGUGCAGAAGAGGAAAGUGGAACUCCAUGUGUAGCGGUGGAAUGCGUAGAUAUAUGGAAGAACACCAGUGGCGAAGGCGGCUUUCUGGUCUGUAACUGACGCUGAGAUUCGAAAGCAUGGGUAGCAAACAGGAUUAGAUACCCUGGUAGUCCAUGCCGUAAACGAUGAGUGCUAAGUGUUGGAGGGUUUCCGCCCUUCAGUGCUGCAGCUAACGCAUUAAGCACUCCGCCUGGGGAGUACGACCGCAAGGUUGAAACUCAAAGGAAUUGACGGGGGCCCGCACAAGCGGUGGAGCAUGUGGUUUAAUUCGAAGCAACGCGAAGAACCUUACCAGGUCUUGACAUACCAUGAAAAGCUUAGAGAUAAGUCUUUCCCUUCGGGGACAUGGAUACAGGUGGUGCAUGGUUGUCGUCAGCUCGUGUCGUGAGAUGUUGGGUUAAGUCCCGCAACGAGCGCAACCCUUAUUAUCAGUUGCCAGCAUUCAGUUGGGCACUCUGGUGAGACUGCCGGUGACAAACCGGAGGAAGGUGGGGACGACGUCAAACCAUCAUGCCCCUUAUGACCUGGGCUACACACGUGCUACAAUGGUCGGUACAACG